GCUCAUGGAAAUCACCCCAGUUGGCAAACCCUCUUGCCUGGGAGGCCAACAUAAUAGGCACUGCCUUGACUGUCUCCAAGAAGAAAGGUGAUCCAAUCUCAACAGGCAUGCUUUCCUAAAACUGGACAAGAAGAAUAAAUGGUUUUUGCUGGACAGGAAGAAUUACAGCUGCCUGCUGAAGAUGAAGUCUUACUACAGAAAUUAAGAGAGGAAUCAAGAGCUGUCUUUCUACAAAGAAAAAGCAGAGAACUGUUAGAUAAUGAAGAAUUACAGAACUUAUGGUUUUUGCUGGACAAACACCAGACACCACCUAUGAUUGGAGAGGAAGCGAUGAUCAAUUACGAAAACUUUUUGAAGGUUGGUGAAAAGGCUGGAGCAAAGUGCAAGCAAUUUUUCACAGCAAAAGUCUUUGCUAAACUCCUUCAUACAGAUUCAUAUGGAAGAAUUUCCAUCAUGCAGUUCUUUAAUUAUGUCAUGAGAAAAG
Molecule: long non-coding RNA, 484 nt
Filed under: Homo sapiens (human)
Lineage: Eukaryota; Metazoa; Chordata; Mammalia; Primates; Hominidae
Description: HSALNT0209441
Source: RNAcentral